Solanum dulcamara is the source of this 447-nucleotide long non-coding RNA. RefSeq lists it as uncharacterized. The record is from RefSeq and is a predicted model, not a curated record. The transcript is spliced from 3 exons. NCBI's taxonomy places the organism in Eukaryota, Viridiplantae, Streptophyta, Magnoliopsida, Solanales, Solanaceae.
AGGUUGAAGAUCAUACUCAUCUACAUCGCUAGUUAAGCUUUUCUAUCCAACGGUGUUUGUGGUUUAAAGGACGACGAGACGAAUGGGAUAAGAAGUAACCCGUAACAGGGGGCUGUGUUUCAUGCCCGCAGGUACAUGUACAAGUUUUGGGUAUCCAUCAGCUUAGGAUUCCGCUCAGCUCAGCUGGAGGAGGCUUCAUUGUAUCGGAGCCUAGUUUUUGAUACUGACCAUUGAUGUAUAAAAUUGUUUUGUCUAUUCAGGGGUACGGCAAGGGCCCUGUCCCGUCAUAUGUUGUCAUUAAUAUUUUUAGAGGUCUACAGAUAUGUAUGUGUGGGUUGUGUAUGUCAAUUUGAUUCAACUGGGUCUACGUGAUGUAUGAUCUAUGUUAUUAUGUUAUGGAAGCCUUGUCGGCUUGCGUGCCCUUUCAUGAAGUGAUACAAAUGAAAU